RNAcentral lists this ribosomal RNA (497 nucleotides) under uncultured bacterium. RNAcentral's name for it is "partial 16S ribosomal RNA". It matches the Rfam family "Bacterial small subunit ribosomal RNA", at positions 28 to 507 of the family's 1533-position model. The record is from RNAcentral.
GAUGAACGCUGGCGGCGUGCCUAAUACAUGCAAGUCGAGCGAACAGACGAGGAGCUUGCUCCUCUGACGUUAGCGGCGGACGGGCGAGUAACACGUGGAUAACCUACCUAUAAGACUGGGCUAACUUCGGGAAACCGGAGCUAAUACCGGAUAAUAUAUUGAACCGCAUGGUUCAAUAGUGAAAGACGGCUUUGCUGUCACUUAUAGAUGGAACCGCGCCGCAUUAGCUAGUUGGUAAGGUAACGGCUUACCAAGGCAACGAUGCGUAGCCGACCUGAGAGGGUGAUCGGCCACACUGGAACUGAGACGCGGUCCAGACUCCUACGGGAGGCAGCAGUAGGGAAUCUUCCGCAAUGGGCGAAAGCCUGACGGAGCAACGCCGCGUGAGUGAUGAAGGUCUUCGGAUCGUAAAACUCUGUUAUUAGGGGAGAACAAAUGUGUAAGUAACUAUGCACGUCUUGACGGUACCUAAUCAGAAAGCCACGGCUAACUACGUG